Doryrhamphus excisus (bluestripe pipefish) is the source of this 1062-nucleotide non-coding RNA. The record is from RefSeq and is a predicted model, not a curated record. Lineage: Eukaryota; Metazoa; Chordata; Actinopteri; Syngnathiformes; Syngnathidae.
CAAAGGGGUGGAGUUAUGAUAGGUCUCUUGGCAGUUUCCGGCAACACAACUCCAACGAAGGUAUGGAAACACGGCAAGUUAUAUGGACGACAAUACAUCGGUGGCGGCCCGUGGCCUGACAAUGUAGGCGCUGCACAUUGGAGGAUACUUCAGAAGGGGAGCUUCUCAAGCAUUACCAAGUCAAGCACAGUAUUUAUGGAUGUGGCUGUAAGUACCCUGUCUUCAUUUAAGAUGUCCUUGCUCCCUUAAAACAUGGAACAGUGGUGAAGUGGUAUUCUUCCUCGCUAUCCUCCAGGAGCUGAACCAAAACCAACUAAUCACCAAUUAAAGAAGAGAGACAGCCCAGUCAUUAAGGACUUGAUGUGGAGAACUUUUGCACAUAGAGGAACAUACGACAUACACAUGAGCAUCAGUGACAUGAAGCACAGGUGGCCUACCUUGUUUAAUGUCUCACAGGAGAGGAAGGUGCCAGAAUGGAGGCGAAAGGACACCAAAACUGUUAUCCUUGUUUGCAGCGAAGAAAAAUGUUGUCAGAGCAAGAAUUCAAGCACAGACGAACAAUCUAUUUCAGGAUGCCGGGGAUGGAUCAACCAGCAUUCAAGAAAAGAUGGCAUAGUGAUUGAGGGCAGCACCGUCCACAGCAAUCUUGGGGAUCUUAGCCAAGCCCGCUACUAUCUGAUGGGACUGACGUAUGCCAAGACCUGCGAUUCCCCGAGACCCUGUCAUCCAGUUUUAUGGUGUUCCAGUUAGUACUGCUGGAUCUGGAUUUAUGGAAACCUUUCAAAGACUUUGCCAACGAAAUGUUGUUGCCUGGCUCCCGUAAAGUGAAUGGUUGUCUAUAUGUGCCCUGUGAUUGGCUGGCCACCAUUCCAGGGUGUACCCCGCCGCUCGCCCGUAGACAGCUGGGAUAGGCUCCAGCACCCGUAAGGACAAAGCAGGAGAAAAUGAAUGGAUGUUGUUGGCGGCUUUCUGAGUGAUUUUUGGUUGGUGAAGUUUACCUGUCCUAAGUAUAGAAGUUUCAUGUGUUAAUGUUUAUUCAAGUGUCUUAAGGUCAUGAAAAUG